This 499-nucleotide ribosomal RNA is filed under the name uncultured bacterium. RNAcentral describes it as "partial 16S ribosomal RNA". It matches the Rfam family "Bacterial small subunit ribosomal RNA", at positions 899 to 1397 of the family's 1533-position model. The record is from RNAcentral.
ACUCAAAGGAAUUGACGGGGGCCCGCACAAGCAGUGGAGCAUGUGGUUUAAUUCGAUGCAACGCGAAGAACCUUACCCAGGCUUGACAUGCAGAGGGCGAUACCAGAGAUGGUAUUUUCCGCAAGGACCUCUGCACAGGUGCUGCAUGGCUGUCGUCAGCUCGUGCCGUGAGGUGUUGGGUUAAGUCCCGCAACGAGCGCAACCCUUGUCAUUAGUUGCCAGCACGUAGAGGUGGGAAUUCUAAUGAGACUGCCUAGGUUAACUAGGAGGAAGGUGAGGAUGACGUCAAGUCCGCAUGGCCCUUAUGUCUGGGGCUACACACGUGCUACAAUGGUCGGUACAGCAGGCGGCGAAGCCGCAAGGUGGAGCAAAUCCUAUAAAGCCGACCCCAGUUCAGAUUGUUGUCUGCAACUCGACAACAUGAAGCCGGAAUUGCUAGUAAUGGCGUGUCAGCUACAACGCCGUGAAUACGUUCUCGGGCCUUGUACACACCGCCCGU